This 2277-nucleotide long non-coding RNA is filed under the name Salmo salar (Atlantic salmon). RNAcentral's name for it is "lncRNA (ENSSSAG00000089045.1)". Lineage: Eukaryota; Metazoa; Chordata; Actinopteri; Salmoniformes; Salmonidae. The record is from RNAcentral.
CGCCCAGUGCAGUUCACCAAUCCUUUUUAUUUGACGAGCUCCUGAUAACAGUGCAUGUACAGUAUUAGGAGUCAACAGUAUUUGUCUCAGUGUGUUUGUAGAAAUGGCACCUUUCUCCUCGUUGCUGUUUGACACAUGACGAUGAUGUGUCACUAACAAGGUCUGAAUUGUCUUAAAAUGGGAACUCUCUUAUCAAGUGUUAUUUCCAGUUAGACAUGUUGUUCUAAUCUCUGUCUCUAUUCCUCUCUCUCUUUCUCUCUGAUCAGACCCAGGCUUAAUCUGUCUUUCAGUAGACUUAUGUAGAUCUUAUACUUUUGUUACAGCCAAUAAACAUACAGAUUAUCAAUUCAUAUUGUAAAUGUUUAAACUCUGUCAGGAUUAUAGUUUUCAAAUCUGCCAUGGAAUUGGUAAACUAAGUAUGAACAUUUCUCUCCAAAGUAAUUCCAGGUAAAUUGUAGUACUGUAGUACAAAAAACUAAAUCAUACGCAGGUCUCCAACAAUGUUUGGUCUGUAGUUUCUUCUGGUACCGCGCUACCAUUUGCAUACCAGAAAUAAGUGAUGUCCUCCAGUGUCACUUUGGGUUGAAUCCACAGGUUGUCACACUCUAUCCCUUUCUGCCUCCGCUGCUCCCUCCUCACCCUCUCCUUCACCCUCUCCCUCCCUCUCUCCCUCCGUUUAUGGUCAGGUCCCAUGGUGGAGCCGUUGGCGUACCACAAUUCCACCCUCUCCUCCACCGAUAAUAUCUGGUCAACCCACAGGUUCUCCAGAUUCACCCCUGACACCUCCUCUCCUCGCUCUCCUUUCCCUCUCUCUCUGGACUGACAAACGCACCGAUAGGAAGACAGUGAGACCAAGGAAGACUGAAGCAGUUAAUCCCAGAGCCCACAGAACAAUGAAACAGACCAGUCUAGUAGAGCCAGGAGGCAAUGAUGGGGACCUUUCAUCUGCCUCUCCGCACUCAGGACGAUAAUGCACAUUGUUUUCAGUUGUGUUGUUCAGCCUGUUGUCAUAGCCUGAGACUGUGUGGUUGUGUCUGAGUGAAUGAGUAUGAGUUUUCUUAUUCAAAUGUACUGUUGUGUUACGAUUAUUAGAGGUUGUGGUAUUACUGUAUGAAAGUGUGUUUGUGUAGUUGUCUAUGUUAUCUGUAAAUGUGUUUGCAUUUAUAUAUGGAGUUGUGCUAUUGUCAGCAUGGGGGAUUGAAACUGUGGCGUUGUCCUUAGACUGGCUUGUGUCGUCAGGUUGUGUUUUGUAGCUAGUAGCCCUGUAAGUCACGGUCAUGUGCUCAUACAAACCAGGAUAUGUGACUGUGUACGUAGGUGAAACCAUCGUUAUUGUUGCGACGCUGUAGGCCUUACUUUGUUUACCUCUGUUCAAACCUGUCACUCUACUAGUUGGGGUGAUUGUGAAGAAGUCUCUCUUUGUUGUGUAGUAAUCUCCUGAAGCAGUCUCUAGUCCUUGUGUAGCAGUGUGCUGGUCUGCUGCUUGUGACCUGUUUAAGUGUGGCUUCGCUAGCCUGGAGUCAUUACUGGUGUCAGCAGCCCAUGUCUCUAUGAAAUUUGGUGUGUUCAGUUUCUCUGGCUAUUUCAGUGUUGCUGCUGUCAUGAUACUCAGUCCCUUCCUGCUUGGGGAGAGUGGUGGUGCUGGGGUGGUCAGUUGUGGGUGAGGCUGUGUGUCUGCUGAAGGGAAGAGUCUCAUGGUGAUUGUGGCUCUCUGUUUCCUUCCUCAAGUCUCCUGCAGUUGUGUGCCUGUUGCUCUUCUGUACGGCUGUGGUGGCGUAAGUGGCAGUUCCUGUUCUGAGAAUGCCUCUUCCUUGAGUCGUUCUGCCUGAGUUGUUGACAGCUGCUAAGCUAGUGCUUUUCUUCAAUUGUGUUUUGAACGUGCCGCUAGUCCUACCAGGGUGGUUUUCAGUUGUGGAGAGUGGAAGCAUCAGGGGGUCUGACGUUGGAGUGCUGAUACUAAGGUCUAGAACUGUUGUUGUGGUUUCUGUGGCGCUCGGUGAAGCCACAAUGGUGGAAUGGAAGGCACAGGGCAAGGGAAAUCAGAGUCCCUCUCAUCAUGUCUGUGUGCGAGACAGAGGGGGACAGAGAAAGAUAUAAAUAGUGGGAAAGAGAGAGUAAUAGAGAGAGGGAGAGAGAAAGAAAAUUAGAAAAAAAGACAGUGUGAGAGAGAGAGUGAAAACGAGAGAGAGACAGAGGCAUCCAGCUAAUCAGAUGACUUUGUUUUGCUUGUAGUACUGUAGCACACUUUUUAAAACUCUCCCAUUGCUUCCCAUUGCC